This 497-nucleotide ribosomal RNA is filed under the name uncultured bacterium. RNAcentral describes it as "partial 16S ribosomal RNA". It matches the Rfam family "Bacterial small subunit ribosomal RNA", at positions 28 to 507 of the family's 1533-position model. The record is from RNAcentral.
GACGAACGCUGGCGGCGUGCCUAAUACAUGCAAGUCGAGCGAUGAAGUUUGGUGCUUGCACCAAUUUGAAGAGCAGCGAACGGGUGAGUAACGCGUGGGGAACCUGCCUUUGAGCGUGGGACAACAUCUGGAAACGAAUGCUAAUACCGCAUAACAACUUUAAACAUAAGGUUCAAGUGUGAAAGAUGCAAUUGCAUCACCCAAAGAUGAUCCCGCGUUGUAUUAGGCAGGUGGUGAGGUAAAGGCCUACCAAGGCGAUGAUACAGAGCCGACCUGAGGGGGUGGUCCGCCACCUUGGGACUGGGACAACGCCCAAGCCCCUACGGGGGGCAGCAGUAGGGGAUCUUCGGGCAUGGGGGGAAGUCUUACCGGGCAACGGCGGGGUGAUGGAGGAGGUUUUCGGGUCGGAAAACUCUGGUGGUAGGGGAAGAAGUUGGUGGGAGUGGAAAGCGCAUGAAGUGACGGUAACUACCCAGAAAGGGACGGCUAACUACGUG